CCCAUACUCCUACGGGAGGCAGCAGCAGGGAAUAUUGCACAAUGGACGGAAGUCUGAUGCAGCGACGCCGCGUGAGUGAAGACGGCCUUCGGGUUGUAAAGCUCUUUUACGGGGGACGAGGAAGGACGGUACCCUGGGAAGAAGUGUUGGCUAACUACGUGCCAGCAGCCGCGGUAAGACGUAGGACACAAGCGUUAUCCGGAGUUACUGGGCGUAAAGCGCCUGCAGGCGGCCUGGUAAGUUGGACGUGAAAGCCCCGUGCUUAACGCGGGGAGGUCGGACAAUACUGCCAAGCUAGAGUGCGUCAGAGGGGAGUGGAAUUUCCGGAGUAGCGGUAAAAUGCGCAGAUAUCGGAAGGAACACCAGUGGCGAAAGCGACUCCCUGGGGCGCGACUGACGCUAAGAGGCGAAAGCUAGGGGAGCGAACAGGAUUAGAGACCCUGGUAGUCCUAGCCCUAAACGAUGGAUGCUAGGUGUGGGACGUAAAGUUCCGUGCCGGAGCCAACGCGAUAAGCAUCCCGCCUGGGGACUACGGUCGCAAGGCUAAAACUCAAACGAAUUGACGGGGACCCGCACAAGCAGCGGAGCGUGUGGUUCAAUUCGAUGCUACACGAAGAACCUUACCUGGGUUUGACAUGUACGUGGUAGAGAAGCGAAAGCGGAUUGACCCUUCGGGGAGCGUACACAGGUGCUGCAUGGCUGUCGUCAGCUCGUGCCGUGAGGUGUCGGGUUAAGUCCCGUAACGAGCGCAACCCUUAUCCUUAGUUGCACGUAUCUAGGGAGACUGCCGGCGGGAAGCCGGAGGAAGGUGGGGAUGACGUCAAGUCAGCAUGGCCCUUAUGUCCAGGGCUACACACACGCUACAAUGGCCGGUACAAAGGGCAGCAAAGUCGCGAGGCGGAGCGAAUCCCAACAAAGCCGGGUCGUAGUUCGGAUUGCAGGCUGCAACUCGCCUGCAUGAAGCUGGAGUUGCUAGUAACCGCGCGUCAGCUAUAGUGCGGUGAAUACGUACCCGGGUCUUGUACACACCGCCCGUCACGUCA
RNAcentral lists this ribosomal RNA (1043 nucleotides) under uncultured organism. RNAcentral describes it as "bacterial SSU rRNA". It matches the Rfam family "Bacterial small subunit ribosomal RNA", at positions 330 to 1404 of the family's 1533-position model. The record is from RNAcentral.